AUGCUGGAGUAACUCAGCGGGUCGGGCAGCAUCUCUGGAGAGAAGGAAUGGAUGACGUUUUAGGUCGAGACCCUUCUGCAUACUGAUUUCAGGGGAGAGGGCGAUACAUGGAUGAGAAAGUG
Molecule: long non-coding RNA, 122 nt
Organism: Amblyraja radiata (thorny skate)
Lineage: Eukaryota; Metazoa; Chordata; Chondrichthyes; Rajiformes; Rajidae
Exons: 3
Source: RefSeq, a predicted model, not a curated record